This is an RNA transcript of Cicer arietinum (chickpea), 1797 nucleotides long. It is a transcript of the gene named protein FLX-like 3, with no coding region annotated. The record is from RefSeq and is a predicted model, not a curated record. Lineage: Eukaryota; Viridiplantae; Streptophyta; Magnoliopsida; Fabales; Fabaceae.
GGCAUAAAAAAUUACGACCCAAACGUUAUGUAACGACACCGUAUAGUGUUGGGGGCUUUUAUUCUUGUGCGUGUUUGCUGCAAUUGCUGGUUUUGUUCUUUCUAUCAUACGCGACUUUUCUUCUAAAUUCUCACAAGGUAACUGGAAAUGGGAUCAAGACACCGUGUUCACCGAGAGCCUAUGAAUCCUCGAAGGGGGUAUCCACCUGAAGGGCCUUAUGCUCGUGGCCCACCGAUUCAACAACGGGCGCCUAUUCCUCCUCAUCCAGCUCUGUUAGAAGAAGAGCUUGAAGUACAGCAUGCUGAAAUGCGGAGGCUAGUGGCAGAUAACAGGAGACUGAUUGAUGACAGGAUGGCGUUGCAGCGAGACCUUGCUGCUGCGAAGGAGGAGCUCCAUCGCAUGAAUCUGGCUAUUGGUGACAUUCGUGCUGAACAUGAGAUGCAUUCGAGGGAGCUUGUUGACAAAAGCAUGAAGUUGGAGUCUGAUCUUAGGGGGACUGAGCCGUUGAAGAAUGAAGUUAUACAACUGCGAGCUGAAGUUAAGAAACUUAGUAAUAUCAAACAAGAUCUUUCUGGAAAGGUUCAGACACUCACACAAGAUGUUGCUAGGUUACAGGCUGAUAAUCAACAAAUUCCUUCGUUGAGGAAUGAGAUUGAUGGUUUGCACCAAGAACUGAUGCGUGCUAGAACAAUGGUGGAUUAUGAAAAGAAGGCAAACAUGGAGUUCAUGGAUCAGAGGCAGUCAAUGGAGAAAAACAUGGUUUCCAUGGCCCGGGAAGUUGAGAAACUUCGUGCGGAGCUUGCUAGCAUGGAUGGAAGACACUGGGGAGCUGGGGGGCCUUAUGGAACGAAGUUUGGUAGCCCAGAGGGAGGUUUUCCAUCUCCAUACGCAGAUGGAUAUGGUCUUCACAUGGGUGCUGCAGAGAAAGGUCCUCUUUAUGGGGUGGGGGCUCCUUCAAGGAAAGCACACGAGAAGCCUCGCACAAACCGUCGUUGAAUCCAAGUGAUUGAUGUUGGUGAUGAAGAAAGGCUUGCCAUCUCUCUGGCUGUGUUAUUGGAGUAGCGGAUUCAUGUCCUUCUGUAUGGAAAGCUGGAAACCUUGUUUGGGACUGAAUAGUAAGGAUAAAUCCCCACAAACAGCUUUUGACCAUAACACCGUGAGAUUUUGCGGAACACCAGGAUGUUUUAUUAUUUUAAAAUGCAAAAUUGGAUGAAGGUUACUGUGGUAAGAAGGAAGGUAGGUCACUGUUGGUUGAAGGAUGUAUUUUAGCCUGCUUUGAUGGAUCUAGAUAACACAUUAGCCUGCUUUUGUUCUUUUUUAUCGGGUAGUUGUGACAUUGGAAAUAAUUUUUUUAAAAGGUAUUCCCUCUGGCCUUAUAUAUUGAGUCAACAAAAGUUGGAUGUUUUUGAUCCAUCAAAUACUCCAACUUUAUUUGACUCACUUUCACUUAUGUUGAAUACCAGAGGGAGUAUCAUGGAUUGUUUGAAAAAUGCAAACAUAAAAAGUUUUAGUUUGCUAGAUGGAUCGCUGACUCCUUGUUUCAGAUGUUUCCUUACUUUGUUUGUGAAAUAAAGGACGCCUCACUAAGAUAUGUUGAAUUUUUGUUUAAGUACAGGCAAACUACACAAGACCCUGGAUAGUCAUGUUUUGUUGAUUUGUGUUUCCCUACUUGGUACCUACACAUAUGGUUUUAUAGUGGUUGAUCAAAGAGUUUCUCAACAGUUUAGACGUUAUUUACUAGCAUACUUAAGGGUGAUUAAUUUUUAUGCUGAUGGUUUAGUUGGGCUUGGUCAUGCU